RNAcentral lists this long non-coding RNA (2480 nucleotides) under Triticum aestivum (bread wheat). RNAcentral describes it as "long non-coding RNA (TAES_LNC008501)". The record is from RNAcentral. Lineage: Eukaryota; Viridiplantae; Streptophyta; Magnoliopsida; Poales; Poaceae.
AAUAUUUUUAAUACAAACCAUUUUUCCUUUCAUCAUCUGACAUUUUUGUCUAGUUUUGGGUUGCACCCGAGGUAAAUGAAUCAUACCAAAUACUGAUAGAAAAUCAUACAUUUUCCUCACGAAACCAAACUUCUAAACUUUCCUACAAUAAUUCUUUGAAUUUGCACACACGGCUUAAUUGAACUUUUCAACAUUGGAUCCCCUAAUUAUACAUAACUCUCAGUUUAUACGAACUAGUUCUCCUUGGACUGAUGUCCGCGUUCCACUUGGACGGCUGCCAGUCACCAUGAUGGACGAGCUAGUGGCCAAGUGCGGCCAAAGCCACCGGGGGACUGUAGGUGCUUGUGCUUAUUCUCAGCUGCGAAUUCACACAAGGUGGAUGUGAUUAGAGGAAGCAUGGUUCAUGGGUGACCUUCAUCUUGCCGCCGGAUAUGGGCUGCUCGCGCUCGUGGAGGCCGUCGACCGGACUCGAGGUAGCACCACUCGUGGACGGAGAUCAAUAGAGCCUGACAUGCACUACAACCCAAUCCAAUCCUGUCAUAUAACAAGGAACAAAUAAUAAUUUAUAUUUUGUUAAUUUCUGAAGGCAUAUGUACAACAAAUUAGAACUUCAAAGAGGUAUUUUUUUCAUACAAACUGUGUCCAUGCUAUAGGUUUGAAUAAAUUGAGAGAGAGAGAGAGAGAGAGAGAGAGAGAGAGAGAGAGAGAGUAUUAUGUACUAAAUUCAUGUGGAGAGCAGAGCAGCUGCGCGUCUAGGAUGGGCUACCCCGGAGCAAAGCUCGCUCUCCCAUUUGUUGGAUGACUUAACUUGGACGGCACCCAAUGCUCGACCUGGACGGCGCCCAACGCUCGACUUGGACGGAGGAGUUGCUACCCUCGGGAGGUUCCUCGCGUGUACGGUUCAUCUUGUUGGGCUGCCAAAAUAGACACAAAAAAUCACGUCGAAGCAAAUCAUCAUAAACCUUUUUACAAAACUGCUUGCCAAAUCCUGGUUUAGUGAAUUUACUAUAUAAUAUACUGCCGAACUGUUUAUUUAACACAAAUAGAACUUUUUUGUAAUACACACAGAUAUAGCAUACAACAUAUUCAUAACAUCACUUCUCCUAACUGCAUUAUGAUCUAUCCAUUCAAGAGAGUUUGAACUUGCUAGCAUCAUCUUCUAACUGCAGCCAUCCCAUUAACUUUUACAAAACAAUUCUCAAUAUGGAGCAAAUAACAACAGGAAGGAGGCCUCCACCAUGCACAUACAACAUCAACAUGCUAGUUAGACUGCCCCUUGUGAGCCUCCAAAGCAAAUGUGUUACAUCUAGGUGAUAUCUCUGUACUUAUAAAGUUUUUGAAGGUGAACUAUAGCAAAUUUUUAUAGUCCACAUAAAAGUAAUACGUGUACUGCUCCAUAGCAAAUGUUUUAUAGUCCACAUGUGCAUAAAAGUUAGCUUUUAUUUAACAACAAAGAACCAUCACAAAAGAUUAUUUUAGUUCUUCUAGGCAUAUCAACAAACAGCUUGCGAGCAACAGGAAUAGAAUAAGUUCUCCCAUGCAAACUGAAGAAGUUCUCUAAGCAGAAGAAUAAACAACUAGACUCCCGUCCUGGACCCUUAAAGAUGAAAAACGCUGCCAAAAUUCUAUUUCAUGCAAAUUUUGUGUCUACUUAUUUGGAUAUCUGCAGCAACCAUGUCAUACACUAACGAAAUAUCUUCGAAAUGAGACCAAUCAAAGCACACAGACAACCCGCAAUCAUCAACUAAAGUUGUGUUCUUCAGUUACUCUGACCAAGUUCGGUUUUCUUCAGAAAAUAGAUGAAAAAUAGCAUUGACUUUGCCAUAUAUAUUUUUAGCAUGUAUUGGGACGGAUAGGUGAUGAGAAGAUGGACCUUCUUACGGUGGAGAAAACUACCAUCGGGGGCUGGUAGGAAGGCGUACUUGUGGAGGCUCUCAAUGGUGCAGCUUGGUCCCCGGCGAGUCCCAGGCGCCUCUCACUGUCUCAAACUGGAAAAAGACCGAAGGCGAUGGGGUAGGACAGACGCCGGCUACCGGAUCGUUGAAGGUAUGAUUCAAGAGCAACAUCAGUUCAGUUCAAAAUAAAUUGGCAGUAUAUGAAUUUUGUGCUAAGCAAGCAUACACAUCAGCACAAUGGAAUGCCUUGGUGAAAUGCACUCACUCAGUUCCCAUAUAGGCCAAUAAGCAAAUUAGAACACAAAGUACGAAGAAAGCAGAGCAUCAGUGCUUGUGCGGCAUGGAUCCGUCAACCCUUUUGCAUCCUAGUUCCAGCCAGCAUGAGCUAGCACGUCCUGGAUCAAGCUGCAGUAGUGCAACACAACGCAUCAGAGAGAUUAAAAGGUGAGUAGCAGCAUGUACAGGAAGGGGAGAAAGCAACUAUAGCACAUGAGCAUCCACGGGCAGAGAGAGAUGCAGCAACUUAUCUCCACUUGAGACUAAACUUAUAUAAAUUUUAUUGUUGAACUUUCAGAUAUCUUUACA